UGACAGAAGUGGGAUUCGAACAAACGCCAGCAAGAUUGAACUGCGACUUGAACGCAGCGCCUUAGAGCGCUCGGCCAUCCUGAC
This is a non-coding RNA of Araneus ventricosus, 84 nucleotides long. Lineage: Eukaryota; Metazoa; Arthropoda; Arachnida; Araneae; Araneidae. The record is from the annotation of a GenBank genome assembly.